AGCAGGGUGGCUUAGUGGAUAGAGCAAAGGCCUGGGAGUCAGAAGGACCUGGGUUCUAAUCCCGGCUCUGCCA
This is a non-coding RNA of Ornithorhynchus anatinus (platypus), 73 nucleotides long. The record is from Rfam. Lineage: Eukaryota; Metazoa; Chordata; Mammalia; Monotremata; Ornithorhynchidae.